Long non-coding RNA from Microplitis mediator, 1216 nucleotides. RefSeq lists it as uncharacterized. The record is from RefSeq and is a predicted model, not a curated record. Lineage: Eukaryota; Metazoa; Arthropoda; Insecta; Hymenoptera; Braconidae. The transcript has 4 exons.
UAGCAAUGUAUAGUAUCGUUAUUUUUCAUGUUAUUUAAGAGAUAUUCAAAAACAUAUACGGGACUAAGUUAUUAAAAUAUACGACUGUGUGUUUGUAGAUGUUUAAAAACAACCAAAUUCUUUUGCUUCUUCAUAUACCAAUAUAUGGACCAAAAAAUAAACGGUUUGAAACCUUCGAUGUUAAAACAAAGCAGUCAAGACAUAGACCACAUUUUUGACAGAAGAACUAUUAAAUUAAAAAUUGUCGUUACAAUUUUUUUAAUUCAUUUGAUUAAAAUUAUUCAGAAUUCUAUGUAAUUAUUCGUAGUUAUAUUAAAUUGUGAUAAUAAUAGGAAACUGAGAAUUGUAGAAAAUUUUCUCUUUUUUUUUUAAAUUUUCUCGAUCUACCAUCGAGUUUACUUUUUCUCUGGUCAUAAAAACCUCUCUCAUACACGAGCCGGGACCAACAUGUGACUUGUGACGUCAAAGGUCCCAGGACAAAGGUCUUAGUUUUAUUUAAGAAACAAACAACUCUUAGCCGAUACAACUAGAACACAUAGCCCUUCGUCUCCGGGGGGAACAUACGUAUUCUUUUAGGCACAAAGUGAACACGUUAGCGACAAUUACAAUAAAAAAAAACAAUAAAUAUUAAUAAAAAUAAUCAGUGUGAAAUUAGUGAAUUUUUAAUUGUGCAAGUUUUUUAGUAAUUCAUUUUAUAAACAAUUUUAGUGAAGUAUAAUAAACUCAUUAAAUAAAUAACUAGUGAUACAGAUCCAACAAAGAAGCAUUAUAAAUUUGGUCUUAUAAAAGAAAGAAUUGGAGGAGAAUGAGCUGUUUGCAGUGACGCCAGUAACAAAUCCGAUAUUAAUUAUCCGAGGAAAAGAAUUACACGAUGAUAACAAACGAUACAAUGUAGUACUCGAAAAACAAUGUCUGAUUGGAGUAGAUUCAUUCCUUGAAGGAAUUUUAGUUACAUUUUUAUCGUACUAUGUCUUUGGAUUUGCUUAUCCAAACAAAUUAGAAAAGACAAUGGAAGCUAUUCAAAAAUUGUUUCUUAAAAUUUCUCCACCAGGGAAGGGUAAUAAGCGAGAUGGAAAAAAACGAAAAGCUAUACUGUCAUUUAUCCGAAAGUAGCUUCAUUUAUGAAAGAAAUAAAUUAUUAUAUAAAUAAUUAAUAAAAAUUAAAACCUUUUAUAUAAAAUAUAAUUCGAAAAUUUAAAAAAAAAAUCAAAUGUAU